This 244-nucleotide ribosomal RNA is filed under the name uncultured anaerobic ammonium-oxidizing bacterium. RNAcentral's name for it is "partial 16S ribosomal RNA". It matches the Rfam family "Bacterial small subunit ribosomal RNA", at positions 439 to 674 of the family's 1533-position model. The record is from RNAcentral.
GGAGUUAGGAAAUGUGGGCUCGCUAAUAUCGGGUCUAUUUGACAAAGGCUCCAAAGGAAGCCACGGCUAACUCUGUGCCAGCAGCCGCGGUAAUACAGAGGUGGCAAGCGUUGUUCGGAAUUAUUGGGCGUAAAGAGCACGUAGGUGGAUUUGUAAGUCAGACGUGAAAGCCUUCUGUUCAACGGAAGAAUUGCAUCUGAAACUACAAACCUUGGGUGUAGGAGGGGAGAGUGGAACUUCUGGU